RNAcentral lists this ribosomal RNA (253 nucleotides) under uncultured bacterium. Its description in RNAcentral is "partial 16S ribosomal RNA". It matches the Rfam family "Bacterial small subunit ribosomal RNA", at positions 524 to 776 of the family's 1533-position model. The record is from RNAcentral.
UACGUAGGGGGCAAGCGUUGUCCGGAUUUAUUGGGCGUAAAGAGCGUGUAGGCGGUCCGGUAAGUCCGCUGUGAAAGUCGGGGGCUCAACCCUCGAAUGCCGGUGGAUACUGUCGGGCUAGAGUGCGGAAGAGGCGAGUGGAAUUCCUAGUGUAGCGGUGAAAUGCGCAGAUAUCAGGAGGAACACCUAUUGCGAAGGCAGCUCGCUGGGACGUAACUGACGCUGAGACGCGAAAGCGUGGGGAGCAAACAGG